GACGAACGCUGGCGGCAUGCCUAAUACAUGCAAGUCGAGCGAACAGAUGAAGUGCUUGCGCUUCUGACGUUAGCGGCGAACGGGUGAGUAACACGUAAGGAAUCUACCUAUAAGCGGGGGAUAACAUUCGGAAACGGGUGCUAAUACCGCAUAAUAUCUUCCUCCGCAUGGAAGAAGAUUGAAAGACGGCUCUGCUGUCACUUAUAGAUGACCUUGCGGUGCAUUAGUUAGUUGGUGGGGUAAUGGCCUACCAAGACGAUGAUGCAUGGCCGACCUGAGAGGGUGUUCGGCCACAUUGGGACAGAGACACGGCCCAAACUCCUACGGGAGGCAGCGGUAGGGAAUCUUCCGCAAUGGGCGAAAGCCUGACGGAGCAAUGCCGCGUGAGUGAAGAAGGCCUUCGGGUCGUAAAACUCUGUUAUAAGAGAAGAACAAAUUGUAGAGUAACUGCUACAGUCUUGACGGUAUCUUAUCAGAAAGCCACGGCUAACUACGUGCCAGCAGCCGCCGUAA
Molecule: ribosomal RNA, 513 nt
Filed under: uncultured bacterium
Lineage: Bacteria
Description: partial 16S ribosomal RNA
Rfam family: Bacterial small subunit ribosomal RNA
Source: RNAcentral